GACGAACGCUGGCGGCGUGCUUAACACAUGCAAGUCGAACGGAAAGGCCCUGCUUUUGUGGGGUGCUCGAGUGGCGAACGGGUGAGUAACACGUGAGUAACCUGCCCUUGACUUUGGGAUAACUUCAGGAAACUGGGGCUAAUACCGGAUAGGAGCUCCUGCUGCAUGGUGGGGGUUGGAAAGUUUCGGCGGUUGGGGAUGGACUCGCGGCUUAUCCGCUUGUUGGUUGGGUAGUGGCUUACCAAGGCUUUGGCGGGUAGACGGCCUGAGAGGGUUAGCGGACACAUUGGGACUGAGAUACGUGCGAGACUGCUACGUGAGGCAGCAGUUGGUAAUAUUGCACAUGGGGCGGAAGCCAGAAGCAGCAACGCCGCGGGCGGGAUAACGGCCUUCGGGUUGUAAACCGCUUUCGCCUGUGACGAAGCGUGAGUGACGGUAAUGGGUAAAGAAGCACCGGCUAACUACGUG
Molecule: ribosomal RNA, 468 nt
Filed under: uncultured bacterium
Lineage: Bacteria
Description: partial 16S ribosomal RNA
Rfam family: Bacterial small subunit ribosomal RNA
Source: RNAcentral